UUUCUUUCUUUCUUUCUUUAUUUUGCACCUCUCCCCUGCUUUGACCCACUGAAUCCAAAGCAAAGCGCGUGGCGGCACCGCAAAGUGUAGUAUUGAAUUUUGUUUAGCAUAAAUGAAAUUUUUAAGAAAAAAAAUGUUUAAAAUCUUAUUUUUAUGGUUUAUAUAUAUAUAAUAUAAGCCAUGAUCUGGAAAACAACUGCGGCGCAGGCUGUGGCUCGCCGCCGAUAUGGCAGCUGUCUACCAGAACAUUUUGAUUGGAAAACGGUGGGCCAUAGUUUGCCGCUGUA
Molecule: unclassified non-coding RNA, 287 nt
Filed under: Hevea brasiliensis (rubber tree)
Lineage: Eukaryota; Viridiplantae; Streptophyta; Magnoliopsida; Malpighiales; Euphorbiaceae
Source: RNAcentral